UGAAAAUGUUUUGCAGUUCAACUUUUUAAAUAUUUACAAAAAAUAGAGUGUCCAUUUUUUCUGCUUCAUACAAAGACUAAAAAAAAUUUUUAUAUCAACUUCCUGUGGUAGCAGCCUCCUGUAGGUGGCGCUCUAGGCCACUGCCUUUCCUUCAGACUGCUUCGAGAUACGUGAGAUAUGCUCUAUGGAAUCUGUUCGAAAUAAGUUGCUUCUUAGGGAAGGUCUCUCACUUAUAAGAACACAUAAAACUUCUUUCUUUUUUUUACUGAAGAAACUCAACGGAGGUGAAAAUCCUGCUGAGUAGUUAAUCCACAUUAUUUUUAGAAGUCACCAUGUCCAGCUUGGGAAGAAGUUGUGUUGAUCACAAAUCCAACAGACAGUAAGAAGGUGAACUUCAUCUCACACACAGUGAAACAUUUUCCUUCCCACAACGAGCAGGCGGCGGCUGUUUCUCAUCUUAAUGAAUUUCUGAACUUGUUCGUUCAUUCCCUCUUUGCUGCCGAAAAAACCCCCCCCAAAAAAACAAGGCGUUGGCUGCCGAAGCAAUUGAUGUGUCAGGAGGGAGGAAGGACAAAAUGGAGUGAUAAAGGCGUUCACACACAUUUCUCCACAAAGAGG
This is a long non-coding RNA of Xiphophorus hellerii (green swordtail), 618 nucleotides long. RefSeq lists it as uncharacterized. The transcript has 2 exons. Lineage: Eukaryota; Metazoa; Chordata; Actinopteri; Cyprinodontiformes; Poeciliidae. The record is from RefSeq and is a predicted model, not a curated record.